UGGUGCUUGCAUCAUGAUUUACAUUUGAGUGAGUGGCGAACUGGUGAGUAACACGUGGGAAACCUGCCCAGAAGCGGGGGAUAACACCUGGAAACAGAUGCUAAUACCGCAUAACAACUUGGACCGCAUGGUCCGAGCUUGAAAGAUGGCUUCGGCUAUCACUUUUGGAUGGUCCCGCGGCGUAUUAGCUAGAUGGUGGGGUAACGGCUCACCAUGGCAAUGAUACGUAGCCGACCUGAGAGGGUAAUCGGCCACAUUGGGACUGAGACACGGCCCAAACUCCUACGGGAGGCAGCAGUAGGGAAUCUUCCACAAUGGACGAAAGUCUGAUGGAGCAACGCCGCGUGAGUGAAGAAGGGUUUCGGCUCGUAAAACUCUGUUGUUAAAGAAGAACAUAUAUCUGAGAGUAACUGUUCAGGUAUUGACGGUAUUUAACCAGAAAGCCACGGCUAACUACGUGCCAGCAGCCGCGGUCAUACGUA
This 482-nucleotide ribosomal RNA is filed under the name Lactiplantibacillus plantarum. RNAcentral describes it as "bacterial SSU rRNA". It matches the Rfam family "Bacterial small subunit ribosomal RNA", at positions 62 to 529 of the family's 1533-position model. The record is from RNAcentral. Lineage: Bacteria; Bacillati; Bacillota; Bacilli; Lactobacillales; Lactobacillaceae.